CGCCAAUAUGUUACGAACUGCUUUUUUCGGUGGCAGUGCCGCUAGCUCAGUCGUCUUCAGGGCAGAGUACCCCUAAUGCCACAGCUCGCAACAUAAGUAUCGAUAACUUCGCGGUCUCACUUUACUAAUCUAUCGGUCAUCACUAAGGACAAAACGUAAACAAAGCAAAAAUCUACAAAUAUUGACGGGAAAAUGAAUUACAUUUGGUGGCUAUCGGUGACCUAGCCAAGCGCUCCCACCCAACCAUGGAUGCCCUCAAGAUGCUGCAGGGCACCACCCAUUCGCAGUCGGCAGGAGCCCCCUCCUCGCGACUACGGCUACGGUUCCAUCUCCCCCACUGGAUUUAUCCUUCCUCACCCUUCAAGACCGAAACCUGGCCGUCGUCUCGGAUAUUUACGCGGUCAAAGCAGAGGAUUCGUUUUGCUGGAAAAGGGUACAGGCGCCGCGGAAACUAUGCUCUACCAGCCAUGUAUUGGUAGAGCUCGCAUGGAAACGCGGCCCUCAAAGGAAUAUGCGCGAUGCGCGUGUGUAUGGUCACCUAAUCCUGAGGAGCUCCAGGGGAAAAGAAGGGACAGGCCAAAAAGGUACGUAACUGCACUGUAAUCUAUACCAUUUAACUAAUGCUCGCGACCUUUUUAAUUUAAACAACGAGGACAAAUAAGGCUCUCGGGUCUAACUCCGGAUAAACUCACAAACAGCCACCGUCGGGCCGGCCUGGAGGCGAUGAUUGCCCGGGCUGAUGACUUUUCGCCGGAGGCCAGCAGCGAUACGGAUCUCCACACGGGAAAACGGGGCUGUCCGGUGAGUGGUGCACGGGCAGUCCGAGAUUCGGCUGCCAGACAAAAUGGAGAUACUUCUCAGCGCCGCAAUGCGACCGCUGGAAGUUCCCGAGAGGAGGAGGACGCGGUACGCCGGAACGGACUCACCGGGAAAUGUUGACGUCGUCGGCGUCGAUUGUGGAAGGCUUUCCUGGCUGGUCGCUGGCACGGGUCGAACGGACACCGGUUGCUGGGCAGCCAAGUCGGGCUGGCACAAAGAAAAUUUAUACUAGCACUCCUAACUGCAUCUGCCUUGAUUGCUGGACAGUAUGGCCGCCACUAUCACGAUAUCUGCUGAUCAUCGCCCCCCGCCAUAUUACAUGGCCUCUCUCGACAUUGGGUCAUUGGAUACAUGGGCCAUUUGAAGUAAUCCCAGAGCGAACCGGGAUUAAUCUUCAAAUGGCCAGAUCGCCCGCCAGACUCAUCCCGCUGCUGCAGCUAUCGCCCUAUCGACCUAAACUAUCGAUAACGUCGCUCCCACUCGACUCCAAUUGCAACAUAACGUCAAUUUCUCAACAGAAAACAAACAUUACACAACACAGCAAACGGCGAUAUUAGCAAAUUAAUGAUUGAUAACAUAAACAUUAACCACACAAAACUUCACUAACAUACACUUGUAGAAAUUUUUUGGCAAUUAGUUAGCGUAACGCAUUUUGGGAAAAAUAAAGAUAUGUCGGAGAGAAGGUAA
Molecule: non-coding RNA, 1506 nt
Organism: Drosophila suzukii
Lineage: Eukaryota; Metazoa; Arthropoda; Insecta; Diptera; Drosophilidae
Source: RefSeq, a predicted model, not a curated record